Molecule: unclassified non-coding RNA, 331 nt
Filed under: soil metagenome
Description: partial contains 5.8S ribosomal RNA, internal transcribed spacer 2, and large subunit ribosomal RNA
Rfam family: 5.8S ribosomal RNA (bases 1-120)
Source: RNAcentral
GAUGAAGAACGCAGCGAAAUGCGAUAAGUAAUGUGAAUUGCAGAAUUCAGUGAAUCAUCGAAUCUUUGAACGCACAUUGCGCCCCCUGGUAUUCCGGGGGGCAUGCCUGUUCGAGCGUCAUUUCUCCACUCAAGCCUCGCUUGGUAUUGGGCAUCGCGGUCCGCCGCGCGCCUCAAAUCGACCGGCUGGGUCUUCUGUCCCCUAAGCGUUGUGGAAACUAUUCGCUAAAGGGUGUUCGGGAGGCUACGCCGUAAAACAACCCCAUUUCUAAGGUUGACCUCGGAUCAGGUAGGGAUACCCGCUGAACUUAAGCAUAUCAAUAAGCGGAGGA